This 1438-nucleotide ribosomal RNA is filed under the name uncultured organism. RNAcentral's name for it is "16S ribosomal RNA". It matches the Rfam family "Bacterial small subunit ribosomal RNA". The record is from RNAcentral.
GCUUAACACAUGCAAGUCGAGGGGCAGCAUGGUCUUAGCUUGCUAAGGCCGAUGGCGACCGGCGCACGGGUGAGUAACACGUAUCCAACCUGCCGUCUACUCUUGGACAGCCUUCUGAAAGGAAGAUUAAUACAAGAUGGCAUCAUGAGUCCGCAUGUUCACAUGAUUAAAGGUAUUCCGGUAGACGAUGGGGAUGCGUUCCAUUAGAUAGUAGGCGGGGUAACGGCCCACCUAGUCUUCGAUGGAUAGGGGUUCUGAGAGGAAGGUCCCCCACAUUGGAACUGAGACACGGUCCAAACUCCUACGGGAGGCAGCAGUGAGGAAUAUUGGUCAAUGGGCGAGAGCCUGAACCAGCCAAGUAGCGUGAAGGAUGACUGCCCUAUGGGUUGUAAACUUCUUUUAUAAAGGAAUAAAGUCGGGUAUGCAUACCCGUUUGCAUGUACUUUAUGAAUAAGGAUCGGCUAACUCCGUGCCAGCAGCCGCGGUAAUACGGAGGAUCCGAGCGUUAUCCGGAUUUAUUGGGUUUAAAGGGAGCGUAGAUGGAUGUUUAAGUCAGUUGUGAAAGUUUGCGGCUCAACCGUAAAAUUGCAGUUGAUACUGGAUAUCUUGAGUGCAGUUGAGGCAGGCGGAAUUCGUGGUGUAGCGGUGAAAUGCUUAGAUAUCACGAAGAACUCCGAUUGCGAAGGCAGCCUGCUAAGCUGCAACUGACAUUGAGGCUCGAAAGUGUGGGUAUCAAACAGGAUUAGAUACCCUGGUAGUCCACACGGUAAACGAUGAAUACUCGCUGUUUGCGAUAUACAGCAAGCGGCCAAGCGAAAGCGUUAAGUAUUCCACCUGGGGAGUACGCCGGCAACGGUGAAACUCAAAGGAAUUGACGGGGGCCCGCACAAGCGGAGGAACAUGUGGUUUAAUUCGAUGAUACGCGAGGAACCUUACCCGGGCUUAAAUUGCAGAUGAAUUACGGUGAAAGCCGUAAGCCGCGAGGCAUCUGUGAAGGUGCUGCAUGGUUGUCGUCAGCUCGUGCCGUGAGGUGUCGGCUUAAGUGCCAUAACGAGCGCAACCCUUGUUGUCAGUUACUAACAGGUUCCGCUGAGGACUCUGACAAGACUGCCAUCGUAAGAUGUGAGGAAGGUGGGGAUGACGUCAAAUCAGCACGGCCCUUACGUCCGGGGCUACACACGUGUUACAAUGGGGGGGUACAGAGGGCCGCUACCACGCGAGUGGAUGCCAAUCCCAAAAACCUCUCUCAGUUCGGACUGGAGUCUGCAACCCGACUCCACGAAGCUGGAUUCGCUAGUAAUCGCGCAUCAGCCACGGCGCGGUGAAUACGUUCCCGGGCCUUGUACACACCGCCCGUCAAGCCAUGGGAGCCGGGGGUACCUGAAGUGCGUAACCGCGAGGAGCGCCCUAGGGUAAAACUGGUGACUGGGGCUAAGUC